GAUGAACGCUGGCGGCGUGCCUAACACAUGCAAGUCGAACGGAGUCGUUUUGGAAAUCUCUUCGGAGAUGGAAUUCUCGACUUAGUGGCGGACGGGUGAGUAACGCGUGAGCAAUCUGCCUUUAAGAGGGGGAUAACAGUCGGAAACGGCUGCUAAUACUGCAUAAAGCAUUAAAUUCGCAUGUUUUUGAUGCCAAAGGAGCAAUCCGCUUUUAGAUGAGCUCGCGUCUGAUUAGCUAGUUGGCGGGGUAACGGCCCACCAAGGCGACGAUCAGUAGCCGGACGGAGGGGUUGAACGGCCACAUUGGGAAUGAGACGCGGCCCAGACUCCUACGGGAGGAAGCAGUGGAGAAUAGUGCGCAAUGGGGGAGACCGUGACGCAGCAACGCCGCGUGAUUGAAGAAGGCCUUCGGGUUGUAAAGAUCUUUAAUCAGGGACGAAACAAAUGACGGUACCUGAAGAAUAAGCUCCGGCUAACUACGUG
Molecule: ribosomal RNA, 483 nt
Filed under: uncultured bacterium
Lineage: Bacteria
Description: partial 16S ribosomal RNA
Rfam family: Bacterial small subunit ribosomal RNA
Source: RNAcentral